CCUACGGGAGGCAGCAGUGGGGAAUAUUGCACAAUGGGCGCAAGCCUGAUGCAGCCAUGCCGCGUGUAUGAAGAAGGCCUUCGGGUUGUAAAGUACUCUCAGCGGGGAGGAAGGUGUUGUGGUUAAUAACCGCAGCAAUUGGCGUUACCCGCAGAAGAAGCACGGGCUAACUCCGUGCCAGCAGCCGCGGUAAUACGGAGGGUGCAAGCGUUAAUCGAAAUUACUGGGCGUAAAGCGCACGCAGGCGGCCUGUCAAGUCGGAUGUGAAAUCCCCGGGCUCAACCUGGGAACUGCAUUCGAAACUGGCAGGCUAGAGUCUUGUAGAGGGGGGUAGAAUUCCAGGUGUAGCGGUGAAAUGCGUAGAGAUCUGGAGGAAUACCGGUGGCGAAGGCGGCCCCCUGGACAAGGACUGACGCUCAGGUGCGAAAGCGUGGGGAGCAAACAGGAUUAGAUACCCGGGUAGUC
This 465-nucleotide ribosomal RNA is filed under the name uncultured bacterium. RNAcentral describes it as "bacterial SSU rRNA". It matches the Rfam family "Bacterial small subunit ribosomal RNA", at positions 338 to 795 of the family's 1533-position model. The record is from RNAcentral.